Molecule: ribosomal RNA, 486 nt
Filed under: uncultured bacterium
Lineage: Bacteria
Description: partial 16S ribosomal RNA
Rfam family: Bacterial small subunit ribosomal RNA
Source: RNAcentral
AUUGAACGCUGGCGGCAUGCCUUACACAUGCAAGUCGAACGGCAGCACGGGUGCUUGCACCUGGUGGCGAGUGGCGAACGGGUGAGUAAUACAUCGGAACAUGUCCUGUAGUGGGGGAUAGCCCGGCGAAAGCCGGAUUAAUACCGCAUACGAUCUACGGAUGAAAGCGGGGGACCUUGUGGCCUCGCGCUAUAGGGUUGGCCGAUGGCUGAUUAGCUAGUUGGUGGGGUAAAGGCCUACCAAGGCGACGAUCAGUAGCUGGUCUGAGAGGACGACCAGCCACACUGGGACUGAGACACGGCCCAGACUCCUACGGGAGGCAGCAGUGGGGAAUUUUGGACAAUGGGCGAAAGCCUGAUCCAGCAAUGCCGCGUGUGUGAAGAAGGCCUUCGGGUUGUAAAGCACUUUUGUCCGGAAAGAAAUCCUUGGCCCUAAUACGGUCGGGGGAUGACGGUACCGGAAGAAUAAGCACCGGCUAACUACGUG